Molecule: long non-coding RNA, 490 nt
Organism: Folsomia candida
Lineage: Eukaryota; Metazoa; Arthropoda; Collembola; Entomobryomorpha; Isotomidae
Exons: 2
Source: RefSeq, a predicted model, not a curated record
UUUGGUACUGCUGACACCCAAAAAACAAUUAAACUAUGGUUUUUACUGGAAUUUUAGCCGUAUAAAUAUAGGGCUUCGACGGUUGUGAAUGUAUCACAGUUUAUAAUUUCAAUUGUUAAUCAACACUAGACUUCUCCUCCUCCGGUAAAAUGUUCAAGUUGUUCGCCAUCCUCCUCCUCGUCGCCUGCGCCAUGGCGGUUGCCAGCGCGCAAUACUUGGCAUACCCAAGAGCCGCCGUCGUCUCGCCGUACGCUUAUCGGUCCGCCUAUGCCGCCCCCAUUGCGGCUUAUCGACCAGCCGUGUACUAUGGUUAAAAACUUCUUCGGAUAAGACGCCACAGAGCAUAAUUCAAUUCAUGACACCCAAAAUUUCGGAACACUAAACCAACCCCACGCUUUUUUCUAUUGAGAAACAUUUAUUUUCGACUUGUAAAAAAAUACUACGAAUAUGGAAAUUAACUAAUAAAAACAAUUGGCAUUUGAAAAUCAGA